GCUAGCUACAGGCUUAACACAUGCAAGUCGAGGGGCAGCAUCAUCAAAGCUUGCUUUGAUGGAUGGCGACCGGCGCACGGGUGAGUAACACGUAUCCAACCUGCCGACAACACUGGGAUAGCCUUUCGAAAGAAAGAUUAAUACCGGAUGGCAUAGUUUUCCCGCAUGGGAUAAUUAUUAAAGAAUUUCGGUUGUCGAUGGGGAUGCGUUCCAUUAGGCAGUUGGCGGGGUAACGGCCCACCAAACCAACGAUGGAUAGGGGUUCUGAGAGGAAGGUCCCCCACAUUGGAACUGAGACACGGUCCAAACUCCUACGGGAGGCAGCAGUGAGGAAUAUUGGUCAAUGGACGAGAGUCUGAACCAGCCAAGUAGCGUGAAGGAUGACUGCCCUAUGGGUUGUAAACUUCUUUUAUACGGGAAUAAAGUGAGCCACGUGUGGCUUUUUGUAUGUACCGUAUGAAUAAGGAUCGGCUAACUCCGUGCCAGCAGCCGCGGUAAUACGGAGGAUCCGAGCGUUAUCCGGAUUUAUUGGGUUUAAAGGGAGCGUAGGCGGGUUGUUAAGUCAGUUGUGAAAGUUUGCGGCUCAACCGUAAAAUUGCAGUUGAUACUGGCGACCUUGAGUGCAACAGAGGUAGGCGGAAUUCGUGGUGUAGCGGUGAAAUGCUUAGAUAUCACGAAGAACUCCGAUUGCGAAGGCAGCUUACUGGAUUGUAACUGACGCUGAUGCUCGAAAGUGUGGGUAUCAAACAGGAUUAGAUACCCUGGUAGUCCAUACAGUAAACGAUGAAUACUCGCUGUUGGCGAUAUACAGUCAGCGGCCAAGCGAAGGCAUUAAGUAUUCCACCUGGGGAGUACGCCGGCAACGGUGAAACUCAAAGGAAUUGACGGGGGCCCGCACAAGCGGAGGAACAUGUGGUUUAAUUCGAUGAUACGCGAGGAACCUUACCCGGGCUUAAAUUGCAACUGACUGAACCGGAAACGGUUCUUUCUUCGGACAGUUGUGAAGGUGCUGCAUGGUUGUCGUCAGCUCGUGCCGUGAGGUGUCGGCUUAAGUGCCAUAACGAGCGCAACCCUUACGGGUAGUUACCAUCAGGUUAUGCUGGGGACUCUACCCGGACUGCCGUCGUAAGAUGUGAGGAAGGUGGGGAUGACGUCAAAUCAGCACGGCCCUUACGUCCGGGGCUACACACGUGUUACAAUGGGGGGUACAGAAGGCAGCUACACGGCGACGUGGUGCUAAUCCCGAAAGCCUCUCUCAGUUCGGAUUGGAGUCUGCAACCCGACUCCAUGAAGCUGGAUUCGCUAGUAAUCGCGCAUCAGCCACGGCGCGGUGAAUACGUUCCCGGGCCUUGUACACACCGCCCGUCAAGCCAUGAAAGCCGGGGGUACCUGAAGUACGUAACCGCGAGGAGCGUCCUAGGGUAAAACUGGUGAUUGGGGC
RNAcentral lists this ribosomal RNA (1441 nucleotides) under uncultured organism. RNAcentral's name for it is "SSU rRNA". It matches the Rfam family "Bacterial small subunit ribosomal RNA". The record is from RNAcentral.